This 423-nucleotide ribosomal RNA is filed under the name uncultured bacterium. RNAcentral's name for it is "partial 16S ribosomal RNA". It matches the Rfam family "Bacterial small subunit ribosomal RNA", at positions 355 to 769 of the family's 1533-position model. The record is from RNAcentral.
UGGGGAAUUUUGGACAAUGGGCGAAAGCCUGAUCCAGCAAUGCCGCGUGUGUGAAGAAGGCCUUCGGGUUGUAAAGCACUUUUGUCCGGAAAGAAAUCCUUGGCUCUAAUACAGUCGGGGGAUGACGGUACCGGAAGAAUAAGCACCGGCUAACUACGUGCCAGCAGCCGCGGUAAUACGUAGGGUGCAAGCGUUAAUCGGAAUUACUGGGCGUAAAGCGUGCGCAGGCGGUUUGCUAAGACCGAUGUGAAAUCCCCGGGCUCAACCUGGGAACUGCAUUGGUGACUGGCAGGCUAGAGUAUGGCAGGAGGGGGGUAGAAUUCCACGUGUAGCAGUGAAAUGCGUAGAGAUGUGGAGGAAUACCGAUGGCGAAGGCAGCCCCCUGGGCCAAUACUGACGCUCAUGCACGAAAGGCGUGGGGGA